RNAcentral lists this ribosomal RNA (253 nucleotides) under uncultured bacterium. Its description in RNAcentral is "partial 16S ribosomal RNA". It matches the Rfam family "Bacterial small subunit ribosomal RNA", at positions 524 to 776 of the family's 1533-position model. The record is from RNAcentral.
UACGAAGGGGGCUAGCGUUGCUCGGAAUCACUGGGCGUAAAGGGUGCGUAGGCGGGUCUUUAAGUCAGGGGUGAAAUCCUGGAGCUCAACUCCAGAACUGCCUUUGAUAUUGAGGAUCUUGAGUUCGGGAGAGGUGAGUGGAACUGCGAGUGUAGAGGUGAAAUUCGUAGAUAUUCGCAAGAACACCAGUGGCGAAGGUGGCUCACUGGCCCGAUACUGACGCUGAGGCACGAAAGCGUGGGGAGCAAACAGG